GACUUACUUGAACAGGAUUUGUUCUAUAGGCUCUUGUAUCCUUGUGUUCUAAGGAGAUAGGAAACCAAGUCUAAGUGGAUGAAAUGUGGCCAUGUGCCACACUAUAGUACGUAAAAGAAACUCGAAUCCAACUAAAUUGUCUUAGUUGAUUAUAUAUGUUAGAUA
This 165-nucleotide small nucleolar RNA is filed under the name Nicotiana attenuata. Its description in RNAcentral is "snoRNA Plant_U3". The record is from RNAcentral. Lineage: Eukaryota; Viridiplantae; Streptophyta; Magnoliopsida; Solanales; Solanaceae.